CACUGAGUGUCUAGUGGUAUGAUUCUCGCUUUGGCUGCGAGAGGUCCCGAGUUCGAAUCCCGGUUCGGCCC
This 71-nucleotide transfer RNA is filed under the name Ancylostoma duodenale. Its description in RNAcentral is "tRNA-Pro". The record is from RNAcentral. Lineage: Eukaryota; Metazoa; Nematoda; Chromadorea; Rhabditida; Ancylostomatidae.